RNAcentral lists this ribosomal RNA (467 nucleotides) under uncultured bacterium. RNAcentral describes it as "bacterial SSU rRNA". It matches the Rfam family "Bacterial small subunit ribosomal RNA", at positions 32 to 507 of the family's 1533-position model. The record is from RNAcentral.
AAUCAACGCUGGCGGCGUGCCUCAGACAUGCAAGUCGAACGAUUAAAGCUCUCUUCGGAGAGUGCAUAGAGUGGCGCACGGGUGAGUAACACGUAAGUAAUCUACCCUCGAGUGGGGAAUAACGUUCGGAAACGGACGCUAAUACCGCAUAACGCAGCGGCACCGCAAGGUGACAGUUGUUAAAGGAGCAAUCCGCUUGAGGAGGAGCUUGCGGCAGAUUAGCUAGUUGGUAAGGUAAUGGCUUACCAAGGCUACGAUCUGUAUCCGGUCUAAGAGGACGGUCGGACACACUGACACUGAAUAACGGGUCAGACUCCUACGGGAGGCAGCAGUCGGGAAUUUUGGGCAAUGGGCGAAAGCCUGACCCAGCAACGCCGCGUGAAGGAUGAAGUAUUUCGGUAUGUAAACUUCGAAAGAAUAGGAAGAAUAAAUGACGGUACUAUUUAUAAGCUCCGGCUAACUACGUG